GAUGAACGCUGGCGGCGUGCCUAAUACAUGCAAGUCGAGCGAACAGACGAGGAGCUUGCUCCUCUGAUGUUAGCGGCGGACGGGUGAGUAACACGUGGAUAACCUACCUAUAAGACUGGGAUAACUUCGGGAAACCGGAGCUAAUACCGGAUCACAUGUUGAACCGCAUGGUUCAACAGUGAAAGACGGUCUUGCUGUCACUUAUAGAUGGAUCCGCGCCGCAUUAGCUAGUUGGUAAGGUAACGGCUUACCAAGGCAACGAUGCGUAGCCGACCUGAGAGGGUGAUCGGCCACACUGGAACUGAGACACGGUCCAGACUCCUACGGGAGGCAGCAGUAGGGAAUCUUCCGCAAUGGGCGAAAGCCUGACGGAGCAACGCCGCGUGAGUGAAGAAGGUCUUCGGAUCGUAAAACUCUGUUAUUAGGGAAGAACAAAUGUGUAAGUAACUAUGCACGUCUUGACGGUACCUAAUCAGAAAGCCACGGCUAACUACGUG
RNAcentral lists this ribosomal RNA (497 nucleotides) under uncultured bacterium. Its description in RNAcentral is "partial 16S ribosomal RNA". It matches the Rfam family "Bacterial small subunit ribosomal RNA", at positions 28 to 507 of the family's 1533-position model. The record is from RNAcentral.